UACGAAGGGGGCUAGCGUUGCUCGGAAUUAUCUGGGCGUAAAGCGCACGUAGGCGGCUCUUUAAGUCGGAGGUGAAAUCCUGGAGCUCAACUCCAGAACUGCCUUCGACUAACUGAAGAGCUCGAGUCCGGGAGAGGUGAGUGGAAUCGCGAGUGUAGAGGUGAAAUUCGUAGAGAUCGGAGGAACCCAGAGGCGAAGGCGGCGCCCUGGCUCGCAA
Molecule: ribosomal RNA, 217 nt
Filed under: uncultured bacterium
Lineage: Bacteria
Description: partial 16S ribosomal RNA
Rfam family: Bacterial small subunit ribosomal RNA
Source: RNAcentral